This 253-nucleotide ribosomal RNA is filed under the name uncultured Lysobacteraceae bacterium. RNAcentral describes it as "uncultured Xanthomonadaceae bacterium partial 16S ribosomal RNA". It matches the Rfam family "Bacterial small subunit ribosomal RNA", at positions 524 to 776 of the family's 1533-position model. Lineage: Bacteria; Pseudomonadati; Pseudomonadota; Gammaproteobacteria; Lysobacterales; Lysobacteraceae. The record is from RNAcentral.
UACGAAGGGUGCAAGCGUUACUCGGAAUUACUGGGCGUAAAGCGUGCGUAGGUGGUGGUUUAAGUCAGAUGUGAAAGCCCCGGGCUCAACCUGGGAACUGCAUUUGAUACUGGAUCACUAGAGUGCGGUAGAGGAUAGCGGAAUUCCCGGUGUAGCAGUGAAAUGCGUAGAGAUCGGGAGGAACAUCCGUGGCGAAGGCGGCUAUCUGGGCCAGCACUGACACUGAGGCACGAAAGCGUGGGGAGCAAACAGG